This 525-nucleotide ribosomal RNA is filed under the name uncultured Acinetobacter sp. RNAcentral's name for it is "bacterial SSU rRNA". It matches the Rfam family "Bacterial small subunit ribosomal RNA", at positions 212 to 728 of the family's 1533-position model. The record is from RNAcentral. Lineage: Bacteria; Pseudomonadati; Pseudomonadota; Gammaproteobacteria; Moraxellales; Moraxellaceae.
CUUGCGCUAAUAGAUGAGCCUAAGUCGGAUUAGCUAGUUGGUGGGGUAAAGGCCUACCAAGGCGACGAUCUGUAGCGGGUCUGAGAGGAUGAUCCGCCACACUGGGACUGAGACACGGCCCAGACUCCUACGGGAGGCAGCAGUGGGGAAUAUUGGACAAUGGGGGGAACCCUGAUCCAGCCAUGCCGCGUGUGUGAAGAAGGCCUUUUGGUUGUAAAGCACUUUAAGCGAGGAGGAGGCGCUCUAGGAUAAUACCCUAGAUGCGUGGACGUUACUCGCAGAAUAAGCACCGGCUAACUCUGUGCCAGCAGCCGCGGUAAUACAGAGGGUGCGAGCGUUAAUCGGAUUUACUGGGCGUAAAGCGCGCGUAGGUGGCUAAUUAAGUCAAAUGUGAAAUCCCCGAGCUUAACUUGGGAAUUGCAUUCGAUACUGGUUAGCUAGAGUAUGGGAGAGGAUGGUAGAAUUCCAGGUGUAGCGGUGAAAUGCGUAGAGAUCUGGAGGAAUACCGAUGGCGAAGGCAGCCAU